Molecule: ribosomal RNA, 482 nt
Filed under: uncultured bacterium
Lineage: Bacteria
Description: partial 16S ribosomal RNA
Rfam family: Bacterial small subunit ribosomal RNA
Source: RNAcentral
AUUGAACGCUGGCGGCAUGCUUUACACAUGCAGGUCGAACGGUAGCAGGCCGCAAGGUGCUGACGAGUGGCGAACGGGUGAGUAAUGCAUCGGAACGUGCCCAGUCGUGGGGGAUAACUACUCGAAAGAGUAGCUAAUACCGCAUACGAUCUAUGGAUGAAAGCGGGGGACCGUAAGGCCUCGCGCGAUUGGAGCGGCCGAUGUCAGAUUAGGUAGUUGGUGGGGUAAAGGCUCACCAAGCCAACGAUCUGUAGCUGGUCUGAGAGGACGACCAGCCACACUGGGACUGAGACACGGCCCAGACUCCUACGGGAGGCAGCAGUGGGGAAUUUUGGACAAUGGGCGCAAGCCUGAUCCAGCAAUGCCGCGUGCAGGAAGAAGGCCUUCGGGUUGUAAACUGCUUUUGUACGGAACGAAACGGCUCUGGUUAAUACCCGGGGCUAAUGACGGUACCGUAAGAAUAAGCACCGGCUAACUACGUG